UUGGAGUUAAUUUAUUUCUAGAACAUACCAGCCUACUCUCUAACCCUCUCUACUACUCGUGAAACUAAAGUCAAGGUUGAAGUCCUUGCUCUAUAAAUUUUCUAGAACAGUGUAGUGUGUAGACAUGCAUGAUGUGAUUUUACAGUAGUACUAGUACCAGUGAAGUUUGACAAUGUAGUAGUACUACAAGUCUCUAGCUAGGUCCUGAAGCUUCCUACAUAUCAGUUUAUCAAGCCUAUAAAUAGAAAGCCAGUGCAUGUGUAUAGACUGAUGAUGGUGUGCUGCCCAACGUACAAGCAAGUGUACUGUUCAGUCCUCAAGCAAGCAAGUAAAGAAACCAGUUAAAACUAGCACAAGCUUCUCUGCUCCUCUUCUCUGAUCCCCUGCUUAGGAAAUAUUUAGCACCAACAACUGGUAUCAGAGCGCCCAGGUUCGAGUAGGGCGUGACAGAGUAGCACGGCGUAUCGGUAUUGUCAAUUGAAGCUACAAGUAUGGCUUCAAGUUCGGGCGCCACAAUGGCGCAGUCUAUGGUUCCUGUAUUUGCAGGAGAAAAUUAUGAUAUAUGGAGCAUCAAGAUGCGGACGCUGCUGCUAUCUCAAGGAUUGUGGGAUAUUGUUGAGAAUGGCUAUCAAGAGUAUUCCGCUGGAGAAACUCUUACGGCGGAACAGAAAAAGUCUUUGGCAGAGGAUCGGAUGUCGGACGCCAAGGCCUUGUUCUUGAUCCAACAAGGAGUUGCGGAAAGUCUAUUUCCACGUAUUAUUGGCGCCAAGAAAUCCAAGGAAGCAUGGGACAAGUUGAAGGAGGAGUUUCAAGGAUCUCAGAAGGUACUUGCGGUGAAGCUUCAAACCUUGAGAAGACAAUUUCAGAAUUUGCUAAUGAAGGAGUCAGAGAAGGUAAAAGACUAUUUCUCAAGAGUUAUUGAGAUCGUUAAUCAGAUGCGCCUCUAUGGUGAAGAUAUAAACGACCAGAAGGUUGUGGAGAAAAUUUUAAUCAGUCUGCCUGAAAAAUACGAGUACAUUGUUGCUGCUAUUGAGGAGUCGAAAGACUUGUCGAAAGACUCGUUGGAAUCUCAUGAAGAAAGAAAGCUUCAGCGCGAAGGGAGCUCUAUUGAAAAUGCAUUUCAGUCAAAGUUGAGCUUCAGGCCUCAAAACUCAAGGUUUCGCGGAAAUUUUCAAAAAAAUGGAUUUCCAAUGCGAGACCGUGGUUAUUUUCAGAAAAAUGGCUUUUCCAGGCAGAAGGAAGAUGGUCAAGAGAGAAGAGAAAAAGGUACGUCCAGUUCAAAUUUGUGGUGUGACAUUUGCCAAAAAUCUAGUCAUACUACAGAUAUGUGCUGGAAGAAAAUGACCUGCAACAAGUGCAAAAGAAAGGGCCAUAUUGCAAAAUAUUGCAGAACUCGAGAAAUUAAUCGGGCUAAUUUUUCACAAGAAAAGGAAAAAUCUGAAGAAAUGGUUUUCUCUUGCCAUACUGCUCAAGAAGAAAAAGAUGAUGUUUGGGUUAUUGACAGUGGUUGUACAAACCAUAUGGCCGCUGAUCCAAAUUUAUUUCGAGAAAUGGAUUCAUCGUAUCAUGCAAAGAUCCACAUGGGAAAUGGCUCUAUAGCCCAAAGUGAAGGCAAAGGUACGGUUGCUGUUCAAACAGCAGACGGUCCAAAAUUUAUAAAAGAUGUUUUGUUGGUACCCGAUUUAAAGCAAAAUUUGCUAAGUAUUGGGCAGCUUCUAGAACACGGGUACGCGGUUUAUUUUGAAGAUUUUUCUUGCAAAAUAUUGGACCGUAAAAAUAAUCGUCUGGUCGCUAAAAUAAAUAUGGAGAAGAAUAGAAAUUUUCUAUUAAGGAUGAAUCAUACAACUCAAAUGGCUCUCAGAAGUGAAGUUGAUAUUUCCGAUUUAUGGCACAAAAGAAUGGGUCAUCUUAAUUACAGAGCAUUGAAGCUACUCAGGACAAAAGGUAUGGUUCAAGGCCUUCCAUUUAUUACUCUCAAGUCUGACCCAUGUGAAGGUUGUGUAUUUGGAAAACAAAUCCGGGCUUCUUUUCCCCACAGUGGAGCUUGGAGAGCAAGUGCACCAUUGGAACUAGUGCACGCUGAUAUAGUUGGUAAAGUGCCAACAAUUUCAGAAGGAGGAAAUUGGUACUUUAUCACAUUUAUCGAUGAUUAUACAAGAAUGAUCUGGGUAUAUUUUCUAAAAGAAAAAUCUGCAGCCUUGGAGAUAUUCAAAAAAUUCAAGGCCAUGGUGGAAAAUCAGAGUAAUCGAAAAAUUAAAGUAUUGCGCAGCGAUCAAGGAAGAGAAUAUAUCUCAAAAGAAUUUGAGAAAUAUUGUGAAAAUGCUGGCAUCCGAAGACAGCUAACGGCAGGCUAUAGUGCUCAACAAAAUGGAGUUGCAGAACGGAAAAAUCGGACGAUCAAUGAUAUGGCCAAUUCUAUGCUCCAAGACAAAGGUAUGCCUAAAUCUUUCUGGGCUGAAGCAGUUAAUACUGCAGUUUAUAUUUUAAAUAGAAGUCCUACCAAGGCAGUAACAAACCGUACACCUUUUGAAGCUUGGUAUGGUAAAAAGCCUGUCAUUGGUCAUAUGAGAGUAUUUGGUUGCAUUUGCUAUGCUCAAGUGCCAGCACAAAAGAGAGUAAAAUUUGAUAAUAAAAGUGAUCGGUGCAUAUUUGUUGGCUAUGCUGAUGGUAUCAAAGGCUAUAGACUUUAUAAUUUGGAGAAAAAGAAAAUUAUCAUUAGCAGAGAUGCGAUUUUUGAUGAGAGUGCUACAUGGAACUGGAAGUCUCCAGAAGCCUCUAGUACUCCAUUAUUGCCAACCACUACCAUCACACUAGGCCAACCACAUAUGCAUGGCACUCAUGAAGUGGAAGAUCAUACUCCAAGUCCACAGCCAUCAAGUCCAAUGUCAAGCUCAAGUGCUAGUUCAGAUUCAAGCCCGAGCAGUGAAGAGCAAAUUUCUACACCGGAAUCAGCUCCAAGACGGGUAAGAAGUAUGGUUGAAUUAUUAGAAUCUACUUCUCAACAAAGAGGGUCAGAACAACAUGAAUUUUGCAAUUAUUCAGUUGUUGAGCCACAAAGUUUCCAAGAAGCAGAAAAACAUGAUAAUUGGAUAAAGGCCAUGGAAGAUGAGAUUCAUAUGAUUGAGAAAAAUAAUACAUGGGAGUUGGUUGAUCGUCCUAGGGACAGAGAAGUUAUUGGAGUUAAGUGGGUUUAUAAGACAAAAUUAAAUCCAGAUGGCUCAGUUCAGAAAUACAAGGCAAGACUUGUGGCAAAAGGCUUUAAGCAAAAGCCUGGGAUUGAUUAUUAUGAGACAUAUGCUCCUGUUGCCAGGCUAGAGACAAUUCGUACCAUAAUUGCUCUAGCAGCUCAAAAGAGGUGGAAGAUAUAUCAACUUGAUGUUAAAUCGGCUUUCUUAAAUGGUUAUCUUGAUGAAGAAAUCUAUGUUGAACAACCUGAAGGGUUUUCAGUCCAAGGGGGAGAAAAUAAGGUAUUCAGACUCAAGAAGGCUUUAUAUGGAUUAAAGCAAGCGCCUAGAGCGUGGUAUAGUCAAAUUGACAAGUACUUUAUUCAGAAAGGAUUUGCCAAGAGCAUAAGUGAGCCUACUCUAUAUGUCAACAAAACAGGUACGGAUAUCCUAAUCGUCUCACUCUAUGUUGACGAUUUGAUAUAUACUGGCAAUAGUGAGAAGAUGAUGCAAGACUUUAAAAAAGAUAUGAUGCAUACAUAUGAAAUGAGUGAUCUGGGCUUGCUCCACUAUUUUCUCGGUAUGGAAGUGCAUCAAAGUGAUGAAGGAAUAUUUAUAUCACAAAGGAAAUAUGCUGAAAAUAUUCUGAAGAAAUUUAAGAUGGAUAACUGCAAGUCAGUUACAACCCCCUUGUUGCCAAAUGAAAAGCAAAAGGCUAGAGAUGGAGCUGAUAAGGCAGAUCCAACAAUUUACAGAAGCUUAGUUGGAAGUUUAUUAUAUUUGACCGCAACACGACCGGAUAUUAUGUUUGCGGCAAGUUUAUUAUCAAGAUAUAUGUCUAGCCCAAGUCAAUUAAAUUUUACCGCUGCAAAGAGAGUUUUGCGGUAUAUCAAAGGGACCGCAGAUUAUGGUAUAUGGUAUAAGCCAGUUAAAGAAUCAAAAUUAAUUGGCUACACGGACAGUGACUGGGCUGGAUGUCUUGACGAUAUGAAGAGCACAUCAGGCUACGCUUUCUCACUUGGUUCAGGUAUGUGCUCCUGGUCUACAAAAAAACAAAAUAUUGUCGCUUUAUCUUCAGCCGAAGCAGAAUAUGUAGCAGCAUCAAAAGCUGUUUCACAAGUUGUUUGGUUGAGGAGAAUUAUGGAAGAUCUGGGCGAGAAGCAAUAUCAGCCUACUACAAUUUAUUGCGACAGUAAGUCUGCAAUUGCGAUCAGCGAAAAUCCAGUCAGUCAUGACAGGACGAAACAUAUUGCUAUCAAGUAUCAUUAUAUCCGGGAAGCAGUUGAUCGCCAGGAAGUUAAAUUGGAAUUUUGCCGAACUGAUGAGCAGUUGGCAGAUAUAUUUACCAAGGCUUUAUCCAAAGAAAAAUUUGUCCGCGACAGAGAGCUCAUCGGAGUUUGCAAGAAAUAAAUUAAGGGGGAGUUUGUUGGAGUUAAUUUAUUUCUAGAACAUACCAGCCUACUCUCUAACCCUCUCUACUACUCGUGAAACUAAAGUCAAGGUUGAAGUCCUUGCUCUAUAAAUUUUCUAGAACAGUGUAGUGUGUAGACAUGCAUGAUGUGAUUUUACAGUAGUACUAGUACCAGUGAAGUUUGACAAUGUAGUAGUACUACAAGUCUCUAGCUAGGUCCUGAAGCUUCUUACAUAUCGGUUUAUCAAGCCUAUAAAUAGAAAGCCAGUGCAUGUGUAUAGACUGAUGAUGGUGUGCUGCCCAACGUACAAGCAAG
Molecule: long non-coding RNA, 4891 nt
Filed under: Oryza sativa (Asian cultivated rice)
Lineage: Eukaryota; Viridiplantae; Streptophyta; Magnoliopsida; Poales; Poaceae
Description: long non-coding RNA (OSAT_LNC000672)
Source: RNAcentral